This 448-nucleotide ribosomal RNA is filed under the name uncultured bacterium. Its description in RNAcentral is "SSU rRNA". It matches the Rfam family "Bacterial small subunit ribosomal RNA", at positions 26 to 518 of the family's 1533-position model. The record is from RNAcentral.
AGAACGAACGCUGGCGGCAGGCUUAACACAUGCAAGUCGAACGCUCGUAGCAAUACGGGAGUGGCAGACGGGUGAGUAACGCGUGGGAACAUACCCUCCGGUUCGGAAUAGCUCAGGGAAACUUGGAUUAAUACCGGAUACGGCUGAGAGGCGAAAGAUUUAUCGCCGGAGGAUUGGCCCGCGUUCGAUUAGUUUGUUGGUGAGGUAACGGCUCACCAAGGCGAUGAUCGAUAGCUGGUCUGAGAGGAUGAUCAGCCACAUUGGGACUGAGACACGGCCCAAACUCCUACGGGAGGCAGCAGUGGGGAAUAUUGGACAAUGGGCGCAAGCCUGAUCCAGCCAUGCCGCGUGAGUGAUGACGGCCUUAGGGUUGUAAAGCUCUUUUGUGCGGGAAGAUAAUGACGGUACCGCAAGAAUAAGCCCCGGCUAACUUCGUGCCAGCAGCCGC